AUGGUUCAACUGUUGGACUCGGUUUUGAAAAACCAGAGCGAGAAAAAGCCCAUUGAAAUGGCGACUGUUAUUCCACUCGUAGCGGAUGCAGUAACAUUGUUGGGCCACGCAUCUUAUUUGACUUCCCUUAAAAGGCGAGAAUUCUUAAAACCUGACAUUGCUCAGGCGUACCAGUCGGUAUGCAGCAAAAGUAACCCCAUGUCAACAUAUUUGUUUGGCGAUGAGCUGCCAAAGCAUAUUAAAGAGAUAAGUGAGGUCAACAAGAUUGCAAAGAAAACCAUGUCUCGCACUCAUGGGCAUGCUUCAUCAAGACGCAGUGGUUAUCAUAAUGACUAUAAGAGCAAUAGCGCUCAUGGGCGAUACAGUCAACGUGGUGGACGCAGGCAUUUUUUAGGAUAUGGAAACAAGGCAGCCUACGCAGAAAGAAGGCAGCCAACGCAUCAGUCCACCACGAACACCAAAGUGUACAGGGACACAACAAAAGACAAAGCUUAAGUGAGUUUAAUCCCCCAAGUAUUGAGGAAGAUCCAAGAGGACAAGGCACUUGUAUUGUUAAUUGCUCAGUAUGGACAACCCAGAGCUGGUUCCCUCUUCUCCUUCAACUUUUAAUAGACAGGCCAAUGUUACUGCCCAAGACAGAUUACCUACUUGUACUUCCACAGAGCGAUGCACUCCACCCAUUGAAAGACAAUCUGAUCCUAGCCGCAUGGAUGUUAUGCGGAAACACCUUACUGACAGAGGAUUUUCUGCAGGCGCAACCAACCUCAUUAUCUCAUCUUGGUCCUCUGGGACUGAUAAGCAAUACAAUUCAGCUUGGAAAAGAUGGUGUAGCUGGUGUAAGCAAAGGGAAGUUGAUAUCAUUCAGGCGCCUAUAGAACAGGUUGGCAACUUCUUGUCUGAUUGCUAUGAUGAAGGCAAAGGCUACAGCACGUUGAACUCUUACAGAUCAGCACUAUCAUCCACACUUAGCCCUGUCAACAACUGUGCCGUAGGUUCGCACCCACUAAUUACAAGGCUUUUAAAAGGGAUCUACUCUCUGCGUACUCCAGUCCCUCGCUAUGCAACAACCUGGAUGUUACCAUGGUGACGAAUUAUUUGAAAACCUUCUUCCCAUUGGAUCAGCUCACACUUAAGCAGCUGACAUUGAAAACUGUAAUGCUUUGUGCAUUAUCAUCCAGCCAAAGGGAGCAAACUUUGUGCGCCCUCGAUUUGAAUUAUAAAGUUGAAAGUCCAGCUUGUAUCAGUUUUGUUAUACCCGAGAAGCUCAAAACGUCCAAACCGGGUAAAAGUGUUAAAGUUAAAUUUGAGUGUUUAAGAGACAAACCUGAGUUAUGUACUAAAUGUACUUUAGCAGAAUAUAUUUCACGCACACAGGAUGUCAGAAAUCUAUGUGGUACUAUAGCAUCCAAGUUAUUUGUGUCGUACAUUAAGCCACACAAACCAGUUUCAACAGAUACUCUGGCUCGGUGGUUGAAAUUAGUUAUGACUGAUGCUGGCAUAGAUACAUCAGUAUUUAAGGCACAUAGUAUUAGAAGUGCUACAACUAGUAAUGCCUAUGCCAAAGGAAUUCCAAUUUCAGAAAUUUUGCAUAAUGCUGAUUGGACUAAUGAACAUACCUUUCGUAAAUAUUAUUUGAGGGAAUGUAAUCCUUAAGAUUAGUUGAUAACAACAAUCAUAUGUUGCUGAUUAAAAUGUUAUGCUACAUGA
Molecule: long non-coding RNA, 1707 nt
Filed under: Exaiptasia diaphana
Lineage: Eukaryota; Metazoa; Cnidaria; Anthozoa; Actiniaria; Aiptasiidae
Description: uncharacterized LOC114575252
Source: RNAcentral